Molecule: transfer RNA, 68 nt
Filed under: Leifsonia shinshuensis
Lineage: Bacteria; Bacillati; Actinomycetota; Actinomycetes; Micrococcales; Microbacteriaceae
Description: tRNA-Pro
Source: RNAcentral
GGCGUGAUCCCCUUUGGUAGCGCACUUGACUGGGGGUCAAGGGGUCGCAGGUUCAAAUCCUGUCAGCC